AAUUAUAUUUUCUUUACCAAUUGCCCAAAUAUAUGAAGUGACAAAAAAAAAAUCCAAGACACAAAAAUGGAAAUUGAGAUCUAUUCCUAAUCCCUCCGCCGUCGAAGAAGCAUUUGGCGCAACUCUCCUUCAAACUCUCGUUGCCGUCGAAGAACAACUCUCCUUCAAUCUCUUGUCGCGCAUCUCUCCUCUCCGUUGCCGUUGAAAAAAACUAAACAGAAACCCUAAAAUUGUGCCUCUCUUCCUUCUCACUCCCAGACCUUCACGAUGCCUCUCUUCCUUCUCCCAGCGACUCAAUCUUCUUCUUCUUCUCUGUCGGGAGUCUAUUUGCCACUUUCGUCUAUUCACCAGUCACAAUCUUUAUUCUAUUUUAGUAACUAUUAAAUUCCUCAUCCUCUUUCAGGAAACCACCUACCGCCACCCACCGUCGAGCACCACCCGCCAUAAAGAGAUGUCGUGAAGUGAUGUGACGGAGACCGAAUUUAAUGUGGUAGCACUAGGUUCAUAGGUCUUUGGUUCUGGGACUCUGUUCCCCUCUUUCUCCGUUUCAACUCUUUUCGGAUAUUUUUCACAGGUCAGAUUCGUGGUAGGCUCUUGUUUCAAAAUUAGAAAUUAGGUUUGGUAGUUAUAUGUUUCUGAAUCUGAUUUUAAGGAAUAGGGUUCCAAAGUGACAGUUUUUAUAUUUACUUGUUAGUAGGGAUCUUAAAAAUUAUUGAAUUUGAAAUUGGGAAGUUGAGAAAUUAAUGUUUUGCAUGAUUCUAAAUAUCUGGGUUUAGACUCAGCUAUUUCUAGAUUUUUUUUUUUGCCUAAUCAAUUGAUUCAAUUUGCAUUCUAGUAUUUAUUUAAAGAGCAAAUAAAACAUGAGAGGCUAGUAUUUAUUUUUUGUUAAUUGGAUGCUAGCUGAUGUGAACUAUUUUGUUAGUUGAUGUGAACUUUGAAUCUAAUGUUUAUAUUAUGAUUAUGAUAUUGUUUGAUCGUGUUUCAAGUUUUCACCAUGUUGAGGUUUAAUUUGAUGCAUAUGUUCUCAUUUGAUUUAGAUUGUCUUCAAAGAAAGAAUUAAAUAAAUGCUAUAAAAUCCAUUGGAUAUCUUCUCAUUGUACUUCUAGCUUAACAAUUUAUGCCUUUCCUAUAUAUCAUCUCCUUUUCUUUAUCCUUUUCUGAUUGAUAUUUGAAAUCCUUUUUAGUCCUAGCUUCCUUGUCAUAAUUUGAGGGAGUUAAUCAGGGUUGGUCCUAUUUGUUCAAAUGUUUAUCUAUAAUUCAAAGCAAAACAACAACGCCUUUCCAGAAUGCUGGUUUUAGGUGCAGACGGAAUCCUGGUGUUUUUAAAGUCAUUAUUUCAAAACAACAAUGCCUAUUAUGAUUACUCCUACAACCUUGCAGAAGUUGGCUUACCCUGAAGAAGAAUAUGCCACUGCUAGAGCAGCAUCAACAGCUGACGCCAUCAUGGUUUGAUUUGCAUCAAAUAUCUUGUGUGACCUCAUCUCUCUCGCUUUCCGUCUUUUCUAAUGAACACACAUGUUGUAUUCAGUGUUCAGCUCAUUUGUGAUCUCUAUGGAAGGAAAUGCUUCAGAAACACUUUACAAGUUGUUACUGAUGAUAUGAAAGUGCAACUUGUAAAAGGGAUGCUUCGUAAGUUAUCCAGACAUGUAGUAAUCAACACUAUGCAAACACCGUCGUCACGAGAGAAUUUAUGUUUGCCACAAUUUUGUCUUACAAAUUAUGUUUGGUUUUGAUAGUUUUAUGGUGUAGACUUUACUUUCGAUUUGUUAGACAUAUACUUGGUUUUUUUUUUCUUAGUGUUGUUGUAUGACAUAAUGGUUGUCACUUUUAAGAUUCUCAAAAUUCAGUUUCACACUACGUUUAA
Molecule: long non-coding RNA, 1864 nt
Organism: Trifolium pratense (red clover)
Lineage: Eukaryota; Viridiplantae; Streptophyta; Magnoliopsida; Fabales; Fabaceae
Exons: 4
Source: RefSeq, a predicted model, not a curated record